GACGAACGCUGGCGGCGUGCUUAACACAUGCAAGUCGAACGGAAAGGCCCUGCUUUUGUGGGGUGCUCGAGUGGCGAACGGGUGAGUAACACGUGAGUAACCUGCCCUUGACUUUGGGAUAACUUCAGGAAACUGGGGCUAAUACCGGAUAGGAGCUCCUGCUGCAUGGUGGGGGUUGGAAAGUUUCGGCGGUUGGGGAUGGACUCGCGGCUUAUCAGCUUGUUGGUGGGGGAGGGGCUUACCAAGGCUUUGACGGGUAGCCGGCCUGAGAGGGUGACCGGCCAUAUUGGGACUUAGAUACGGCCCAGACUCCUACGGGAGGCAGCAGUGGGGAAUAUUGCACAAUGGGCGGAAGCCUGAUGCAGCAACGCCGCGUGCUGGAUGACGGCCUUCGGGUUGUAAACCGCUUUCGCCUGUGACGAAGCGUGAGUGACGGUAAUGGGUAAAGAAGCACCGGCUAACUACGUG
Molecule: ribosomal RNA, 468 nt
Filed under: uncultured bacterium
Lineage: Bacteria
Description: partial 16S ribosomal RNA
Rfam family: Bacterial small subunit ribosomal RNA
Source: RNAcentral